AGAAUCAACGCUGGCGGCGUGCCUAACACAUGCAAGUCGAACGAGAAAGUGGAGCAAUCCAUGAGUAAAGUGGCGCACGGGUGAGUAACACGUGAUUAACCUACCCUUGAGUGGGGGAUAACCUAGAGAAAUCUGGGCUAAUACCGCAUAAUACCCACGGGUCAAAGCAGCAAUGCGCUUGGAGAGGAGUUCGCGGCCGAUUAGCUAGUUGGCGGGGUAAUGGCCCACCAAGGCGAUGAUCGGUA
Molecule: ribosomal RNA, 245 nt
Filed under: uncultured bacterium
Lineage: Bacteria
Description: partial small subunit ribosomal RNA
Rfam family: Bacterial small subunit ribosomal RNA
Source: RNAcentral